Molecule: ribosomal RNA, 798 nt
Filed under: Triticum aestivum (bread wheat)
Lineage: Eukaryota; Viridiplantae; Streptophyta; Magnoliopsida; Poales; Poaceae
Description: partial small subunit ribosomal RNA
Source: RNAcentral
AUGGGCCAUAUGAUUCUUGGCAGGGAAGAAGCUAUUUGGGCUGAAUCAGACGAGGUGCUGGAGCAGAUUGGGAAGGGCUCCUUUGGCUCUGCGCUCCUGGUGAGGCACAAGGUUGAGAGGAAGAGGUAUGUCUUGAAGAAGAUCCGGCCUGCCUGUCAGACCGUCAGGUGCCGGCGAUCCGCGCACCAAGAGAUCGAGCUCAUCGCAAAAGAAAGGAGCCCUUACAUCAUGGAAUACAAAGAUUCUUGGGUGGAGAAGGGGUGCUAUGUGUGCAUCAUGAUUGGUUACUGCAGGGGAGGGGACAUGCUAGAGGCCAUUAAGAAGGCUAACGGCAACCAUUUCUCGGAGGAGGUGCUCAACUACUUUAAACUCUGUGUGUGGCUUGUGCAGCUCCUGAUGGCGCUUGAUUACUUGCAUGCCAAUCAUAUACUUCAUCGAGAUGUCAAGUGUUCAAAUAUAUUUCUUACAAAGGACCAAAAUAUACAGAUCGGUGAUUUUGGGCUGGCUAAAGUGUUUACUUCUGAUGAUUUAGCUUUGUCGGUUGUAGGAACUCCCAGUUACAUGUGCCCUGAACUUGUUCCUGACAUUCCAUAUGGCUCCAAGUCCGACGUGUGGUCGUUAGGAUGCUGCAUCUAUGAGAUGACUGCGCUGAAGCAUGCGUUCAGUGCAUUUGAUAUGCAGACACUGAUAAACAAGAUUAACAAGUCUGUUGUCGCCCCUCUACCGACUAUAUAUUCUGGCGCAUUUAGGGGACUCAUCAAAAGCAUGCUGCGCAGAAAUCCAGAUCACAGACCGUGA